RNAcentral lists this transfer RNA (73 nucleotides) under Streptomyces phage Starbow. Its description in RNAcentral is "tRNA-Thr". It matches the Rfam family "tRNA". Rfam says of the family: Transfer RNA (tRNA) molecules are approximately 80 nucleotides in length. Their secondary structure includes four short double-helical elements and three loops (D, anti-codon, and T loops). RNAcentral also lists the same sequence under 23 other names. Lineage: Duplodnaviria; Heunggongvirae; Uroviricota; Caudoviricetes; Stanwilliamsviridae. The record is from RNAcentral.
GCCCCCAUAGUGCUAGUGGUAACACAUAUCCUUGGUACGGAUAUAUCGUCAGUUCGAUUCUGACUGGGGGAUC